AAGUCGUAACAAGGUUUCCGUAGGUGAACCUGCGGAAGGAUCAUUAACACGCGUAAUCUCUAACGAUUACAAACCCAACCCGUGAAUCAGUAUUUUACAGACCGCGCUUUGAUAGGCCGCUUCGGUUCUGCAAGGAGUGUUUCGAUACACUGUGACUCCUUGUAGGCUGGAGUGUUAUGGACUAUUGGCUCGCGGUAUACAAGUUAAAAAUAAACUCACUAGUAUAUCACAACCUUUCACCCCUCUCUGAACUAAUUUUAACUGAUUUUCCACAGUUUGAGUCGAAAGGCUCGAACUGCACUGGAUCGUAAUCUUACGAAACAGUAAAGUACAACUCUAAGCAGUGGAUAUCUAGGUUCCCAU
This 363-nucleotide unclassified non-coding RNA is filed under the name fungal sp. RNAcentral describes it as "partial internal transcribed spacer region". The stretch from base 1 to 46 matches the Rfam family "Eukaryotic small subunit ribosomal RNA", at positions 1786 to 1831 of the family's 1831-position model. The record is from RNAcentral. Lineage: Eukaryota; Fungi.